GAGUUCUUUUAAGAACCUACCCACAACGAUUUCCUUCCAAAAAAGGUGCAACACUUAAAAAUCAGAGGAAGAUUUCUAGUAGAAAAGUUGUCCACAGAAAAAAAAACAUCUUUGAAAAUCCAUAAGCUUUUUUGCUCCACUUAGAAUCUAAAAGAGAAAGAUUUUUAAAAAUUAAGAAAACGCAAAUGUAGUAAGUUUGUUUGAUUAUAUAAAAUAAAUUAAAAAUACUAUCUACCAAUAAUUAGGUCACUUCUUAUUUUAACUUUGUGUUU
Cinara cedri is the source of this 272-nucleotide non-coding RNA. The record is from the annotation of a GenBank genome assembly. Lineage: Eukaryota; Metazoa; Arthropoda; Insecta; Hemiptera; Aphididae.